GACGAACGCUGGCGGCGUGCUUAACACAUGCAAGUCGAACGGAAAGACCCUGCUUUUGUGGGGUGCUCGAGUGGCGAACGGGUGAGUAACACGUGAGUAACCUGCCCUUGACUUUGGGAUAACUUCAGGAAACUGGGGCUAAUACCGGAUAGGAGCUCCUGCUGCAUGGUGGGGGUUGGAAAGUUUCGGCGGUUGGGGAUGGACUCGCGGCUUAUCAGCUUGUUGGUGGGGUAGUGGCUUACCAAGGCUUUAACGGGUAGCCGGCCUGAGAGGGUGACCGGCCACAUUGGGACUGAGAUACGGCCCAGACUCCUACGGGAGGCAGCAGUGGGGAAUAUUGCACAAUGGGCGGAAGCCUGAUGCAGCAACGCCGCGUGCGGGAUGACGGCCUUCGGGUUGUAAACCGCUUUCGCCUGUGACGAAGCGUGAGUGACGGUAAUGGGUAAAGAAGCACCGGCUAACUACGUG
Molecule: ribosomal RNA, 468 nt
Filed under: uncultured bacterium
Lineage: Bacteria
Description: partial 16S ribosomal RNA
Rfam family: Bacterial small subunit ribosomal RNA
Source: RNAcentral